GAUACAUUACCUUUCAUUACUUUAAAAAACCUUCAUGCACUCCAUCCAAACAUGCUUUAGUCUUGAUUGCCCUUUGCAUUUCUUCAUUCCACAAGCAAACCUCUUUUGAAGGUAGUCCAUUGCGCAUUUCUUCAUUCCACAAGCAAACCUCUUUUGAAGGUAGUCCAUUGCCUUUUAACUCAUCUAGCACCUCUAUUGCCCUAUUCCUUGUUUCAGUUUCCAUCUUUGUCCGCAGGUAUUUGUUUGUGUCAAAAUUCCAUGUUCAGUGCUUUAGGAGCUCAACCUUGAAUCUCAGUUGCUUUUCUCCUUUUAAAUUCCACCGCCUUGCUCUUGUAUAUGUGUUUUGAAAAUAACACUCAUACAAAAUAAAGAA
Molecule: unclassified non-coding RNA, 373 nt
Filed under: Hevea brasiliensis (rubber tree)
Lineage: Eukaryota; Viridiplantae; Streptophyta; Magnoliopsida; Malpighiales; Euphorbiaceae
Source: RNAcentral